CUUACAUUAAUUACUUAAUAUUUUACUAAUAGAUGAUUAUUAAUUAAGGGUAGAUUAGUAAAUGUAUUUUUUUUACAUACAAUUAAGAAAAUUAAAUACACUCACUGCAUAGAAGAUACUUUGGUUAUAGUGAUGAUUGCUGCAUUUGUAGUUGUUGGGUUCAUAGUGCUAUUUGCUCUCAUCUUUGCCACUUCUUUGAAGCUCUUCAAUUUCCAAAGGAGAUAGAAUAGAAUAAUAGAUGUUUUCAAAUGAAUGUUGGUGUAUAUAUAUAGAUCACUAUAGUGUAAACUAAAUAGUAGAGGAAAAAAAUACAGAAAA
This 318-nucleotide long non-coding RNA is filed under the name Trifolium pratense (red clover). RNAcentral describes it as "long non-coding RNA (TPRA_LNC003222)". The record is from RNAcentral. Lineage: Eukaryota; Viridiplantae; Streptophyta; Magnoliopsida; Fabales; Fabaceae.